AGCGUAGGCGGUUUUGCAAGUCAGAAGUGAAAGGCUACGGCUCAACCGUAGUAAGCUUUUGAAACUGCAAGACUAGAGUGCAGGAGAGGCAAGUGGAAUUCCUAGUGUAGAGGUGAAGUUCGUAGAUAUUAGGAGGAACACCAGUGGCGAAGGCGACUUGCUGGACUGUAACUGACGCUGAGGCUCGAAAGCGUGGGGAGCGAACA
Molecule: ribosomal RNA, 206 nt
Filed under: uncultured bacterium
Lineage: Bacteria
Description: partial 16S ribosomal RNA
Rfam family: Bacterial small subunit ribosomal RNA
Source: RNAcentral